RNAcentral lists this ribosomal RNA (253 nucleotides) under uncultured bacterium. RNAcentral describes it as "partial 16S ribosomal RNA". It matches the Rfam family "Bacterial small subunit ribosomal RNA", at positions 524 to 776 of the family's 1533-position model. The record is from RNAcentral.
UACGUAGGGUGCGAGCGUUAAUCGGAAUUACUGGGCGUAAAGGGUGCGCAGGCGGCCGGGCAAGUCGGGUGUGAAAUCCCCGAGCUUAACUUGGGAAUUGCGCUCGAAACUACGUGGCUGGAGUGUGGCAGAGGAAGGUGGAAUUCCACGUGUAGCGGUGAAAUGCGUAGAGAUGUGGAGGAACACCGAUGGCGAAGGCAGCCUUCUGGGCCAACACUGACGCUCAUGCACGAAAGCGUGGGGAGCAAACAGG